RNAcentral lists this ribosomal RNA (253 nucleotides) under uncultured bacterium. RNAcentral's name for it is "partial 16S ribosomal RNA". It matches the Rfam family "Bacterial small subunit ribosomal RNA", at positions 524 to 776 of the family's 1533-position model. The record is from RNAcentral.
UACGGAGGGGGCUAGCGUUGUUCGGAAUUACUGGGCGUAAAGGGCACGUAGGCUGGCUGUUAAGUCGGUGGUGAAAUCCCGAGGCUCAACCCCGGAACUGCCCUUGAAACUGCAGUGCUAGAAUUCUGGAGAGGCGAGUGGAAUUCCGAGUGUAGAGGUGAAAUUCGUAGAUAUUCGGAAGAACACCAGUGGCGAAGGCGACUCGCUGGACAGACAUUGACGCUGAGGUGCGAAAGCGUGGGGAGCAAACAGG